CAGCCGCCACGGUAAUACGAGGGGGCUAGCGUUGUUCGGAAUUACUGGGCGUAAAGCGCACGUAGGCGGCUUGGUAAGUUAGAGGUGAAAGCCUGGAGCUCAACUCCAGAAUUGCCUUUAAGACUGCCGAGCUAGCAGGUGAGAGAAGUAAGUGGAAUUCCGAGUGUAGAGGUGAAAUGCGUAGAGAUGUGGAGGAACACCAGUGGCGAAGGCGACUCUCUGGUCUGUAACUGACGCUGAGAGACGAAAGCUAGGGGAGCAAAUGGGAUUAGAUACCCGCGUAGUCCCUGUCUUUAUACAC
RNAcentral lists this ribosomal RNA (301 nucleotides) under uncultured bacterium. RNAcentral describes it as "partial 16S ribosomal RNA". It matches the Rfam family "Bacterial small subunit ribosomal RNA", at positions 509 to 809 of the family's 1533-position model. The record is from RNAcentral.